GAUGAACGCUGGCGGCGUGCCUAAUACAUGCAAGUCGAGCGAACAGACGAGGAGCUUGCUCCUCUGACGUUAGCGGCGGACGGGUGAGUAACACGUGGAUAACCUACCUAUAAGACUGGGAUAACUUCGGGAAACCGGAGCUAAUACCGGAUAAUAUAUUGAACCGCAUGGUUCAAUAGUGAAAUACGGUUUUGCUGUCACUUAUAGAUGGAUCCGCGCCGCAUUAGCUAGUUGGUAAGGUAACGGCUUACCAAGGCAACGAUGCGUAGCCGACGUGAGAGGGUGAUAGGCCACCCUGGAACUGAGACACGGUCCAGACUCCUACGGGAGGCAGCAGUAGGGAAUCUUCCGCAAUGGGCGAAAGCCUGACGGAGCAACGCCGCGUGAGUGAUGAAGGUCUUCGGAUCGUAAAACUCUGUUAUUAGGGAAGAACAAAUGUGUAAGUAACUAUGCACGUCUUGACGGUACCUAAUAAGAAAGCCACGGCUAACUACGUG
This 497-nucleotide ribosomal RNA is filed under the name uncultured bacterium. RNAcentral describes it as "partial 16S ribosomal RNA". It matches the Rfam family "Bacterial small subunit ribosomal RNA", at positions 28 to 507 of the family's 1533-position model. The record is from RNAcentral.